UACAGAGGGUGCGAGCGUUGUCCGGAAUCACUGGGCGUAAAGGGCGCGUAGGUGGUGGCUUAAGCGUGCGGUGAAAGCUCGGGGCUCAACCCCGAGUCGGCCGUGCGAACUGGGCUCACUGGAGCAUAGUAGAGGCAGGUGGAAUUCCGGGUGUAGCGGUGGAAUGCGUAGAGAUCCGGAAGAACACCGGUGGCGAAGGCGGUUCUCUGGGACGGUACUGACGCUGAGACGCGAAAGCGUGGGGAGCGAACAGG
RNAcentral lists this ribosomal RNA (254 nucleotides) under uncultured bacterium. Its description in RNAcentral is "partial 16S ribosomal RNA". It matches the Rfam family "Bacterial small subunit ribosomal RNA", at positions 524 to 776 of the family's 1533-position model. The record is from RNAcentral.